Molecule: ribosomal RNA, 348 nt
Filed under: uncultured bacterium
Lineage: Bacteria
Description: bacterial SSU rRNA
Rfam family: Bacterial small subunit ribosomal RNA
Source: RNAcentral
AUUGAACGCUGGCGGCAUGCCUUACACAUGCAAGUCGAACGGCAGCACGGGAGCAAUCCUGGUGGCGAGUGGCGAACGGGUGAGUAAUAUAUCGGAACGUGCCCGGUCGUGGGGGAUAACGUAGCGAAAGCUACGCUAAUACCGCAUACGAUCUACGGAUGAAAGCGGGGGAUCGCAAGACCUCGCGCGAUUGGAGCGGCCGAUAUCAGAUUAGGUAGUUGGUGAGGUAAAGGCUCACCAAGCCGACGAUCUGUAGCUGGUCUGAGAGGACGACCAGCCACACUGGGACUGAGACACGGCCCAGACUCCUACGGGAGGCAGCAGUGGGGAAUUUUGGACAAUGGGCGC